RNAcentral lists this ribosomal RNA (254 nucleotides) under uncultured bacterium. RNAcentral describes it as "partial 16S ribosomal RNA". It matches the Rfam family "Bacterial small subunit ribosomal RNA", at positions 524 to 776 of the family's 1533-position model. The record is from RNAcentral.
UACGUAGGGGGCGAGCGUUGUCCGGAUUUAUUGGGCGUAAAGAGCUCGUAGGCGGUUUGGUAAGUCGGGUGUGAAAUCUCCACGCUCAACGUGGAGGGGCCACUCGAUACUGCCAUGGCUCGAGUCCGGUAGAGGAGUGUGGAAUUCCCGGUGUAGCGGUGAAAUGCGCAGAUAUCGGGAGGAACACCCGUAGCGAAGGCGGCACUCUGGGCCGGAACUGACGCUGAGGAGCGAAAGCGUGGGGAGCAAACAGG